AUUGAACGCUGGCGGCAUGCUUUACACAUGCAAGUCGAACGGUAACAGCACUUCGGUGGCUGGCGAGUGGCGAACGGGUGAGUAAUACAUCGGAACGUGCCUAGUAGUGGGGGAUAACUACUCGAAAGAGUAGCUAAUACCGCAUGAGAUCUAAGGAUGAAAGCAGGGGACCUUCGGGCCUUGCGCUACUAGAGCGGCUGAUGGCAGAUUAGGUAGUUGGUGGGAUAAAAGCUUACCAAGCCGACGAUCUGUAGCUGGUCUGAGAGGACGACCAGCCACACUGGGACUGAGACACGGCCCAGACUCCUACGGGAGGCAGCAGUGGGGAAUUUUGGACAAUGGGCGCAAGCCUGAUCCAGCAAUGCCGCGUGCAGGAUGAAGGCCUUCGGGUUGUAAACUGCUUUUGUACGGAACGAAAAGCCCUCUUCUAAUACAGGAGGGUCAUGACGGUACCGUAAGAAUAAGCACCGGCUAACUACGUG
This 482-nucleotide ribosomal RNA is filed under the name uncultured bacterium. Its description in RNAcentral is "partial 16S ribosomal RNA". It matches the Rfam family "Bacterial small subunit ribosomal RNA", at positions 30 to 507 of the family's 1533-position model. The record is from RNAcentral.